GAUGAACGCUGGCGGCGUGCCUAAUACAUGCAAGUCGAGCGAUCAGACGAGGAGCUUGCUCCUCUGACGUUAGCGGCGGACGGGUGAGUAACACGUGGAUAACCUACCUAUCAGACUGGGAUAACUUCGGGAAACCGGAGCUAAUCCCGGAUAAUAUAUUGAACCGUAUGGUUCAAUAGUGAAAGACGGUUUUGUUGUCACUUAUAGAUGGAUCCGAGCCGCAUUAGCUAGUUGGUAAGGUACCGGCUUACCAAGGCAACGGUGCGUAGCCGAGCUGAGAGGGUGCCGGGCUGAACGGGAGAUCAGACACGGUCCAAACGCGAACGGGAGGAGACAGUAGGGAAUCUUCGGAGAUGGGCGAAUGCCAGACGGGGCAACAGCGCGAGGGUGAUGAGGGGCUUCCGAUAGUAAGGCUCUGUUGUUAUGAAAGGACAUAUGUAGAAAUAACUAGGCUCGGCUUGACGGUACCUGAACAGAAAGCAACGGCUAACUACGUG
RNAcentral lists this ribosomal RNA (497 nucleotides) under uncultured bacterium. RNAcentral's name for it is "partial 16S ribosomal RNA". It matches the Rfam family "Bacterial small subunit ribosomal RNA", at positions 28 to 507 of the family's 1533-position model. The record is from RNAcentral.